UUUCUAAAAUGAAUGGCUUUUUUUAUCAUAGUUUAUAGUAGAAAUAGUAUUUUUAUAACAGAAGUGGACAACAAAAUAAUGUUCUCUUUCCACUUUGUGCAUGCAUUUAAAGAAAGCUCUGUUAGGGAGCAUAUUGAGUUUUUUCCUCUUCCUCCUCCUCUUUCCAUGGAGUUAAAAGCCAAUAAUGACAGUUUACAGGAGCCUUUGUGUGCUGCAUCAUUGCCACGUGGAUGGUGAAGGGAUGCAGGGCAGGAGGUGAUGAUUGCCAGUGCACACCUUUGGGUGUGUUGUGCUGCUCAUACCUCAAACACGAAGUUCUCUCACCACACCUUAGAGAUCUGUUUUUAAUGGCUCUUAGGAAAUGCUGCUGCUUGAGUAGGACAUGCAGCCUGGACUAAAGGAGUGCUUGUGGUUUCUGUGAGCAAAGCAGAGGAGUACACAAGAUAAAAAUCAUUUUUAUGUGCUUAGAACCUUUUAGUGCUCUGUAUGGUCCAUCCUCAAUCACCCUUCCACAUAAUUAAUUGGUCACAACAGAUAAGCAAAAGAGUUGUGACUAUAGUAUUUUGAUUUGGGUUUUUUUUUUUUGUCUUUUAAACUGCAAUGUUAUAAAUGUUCCUGUAAUGCUGCGUUUUUUUCUUAAAAUAGUAUUUUUGUGGUAUGUUUUGAUCUCAGAAAAGCAGACAGGGACUGUUUAAUUUCUGGGUUUAAUUUUAGUAAUUUAAUUUCAAAAAGGAUGAUCAUACAAAAUUCUCUGAGAGCACUCAGAGGUAUCUUUUAAACUGCUCUUUUAAAUUUUCUCUUUGGAAUUGUCCUUUCUUUGGAGGUGCCAGUCAGCAUGGAUAGUGCUGUGAGAAAACUGAACCAAAUUCUGCACUCAACAGCAACAAAAUCCUUCUGCUUUGCGUUGCUGUAGGACUACGGGAUCUUGAAGCUGAGUCUGCUCAGUAGGAAAUUACUGGAAAAAACAGUGGCACAUUCCCUUGAUCUGUGUGAGAUUCUUGCCUUAGUCCAGGACAUUUUUACUGUAGCCUUGCAAGGGAGCAAAGCAAACUUUACACAUUUAAACCAUAUUUUAUCCAUUAUUUCCCCACUGUUACUGCUUCCACAUGAUGACAAGUUCCAAACUAACAGCACAAAGUUGCAACUUCUAGUUUUCAUCUUUAGGCUGUCUUGUUGCUGUGCUCUGUCCUAGAUGCAUCAGUCUGAUACAGCUUAUACAAUUUUAAUGGUGUGCACUGAACUGCAAGCAUUUGAGAUGGAUUUACGUGGUGGCAAAUUAACUGAGAGACAAAACAUAAAAUUAAUGAUGGAGAAUGAUAGAUACACUUGGAGAAAAACCCAUUCUACAUUAGCACCAGAUCAAUACAGAAGGCUCAAAUCUGCACCAGCAGAAAGAAGCACAAAGGUUCACCACUGCAGCCCUCAAGCCAGCAGGUAUUUUAGGCAAGUGUUCUGUAAAGUUAGUACAACUCUCCAGUUUCUACCCCUAUUGCAAUUUUUGUGUUAGGGAUUACUUCCAUAGCUGGGGGCUGCAGGGUCAUUUUUUUUAAAAGCAAUCCUUUGCUGGCUCUGCACUUCUAAAUACAACCCAAUGAUUAAAUCCUGAAGUCCUUGUUCAGCAAAACUUUUAUCAAAUUUUGCAGGGAGAAAGAAGGGUGGCUGUACAUGGAUUCAAGUAUCCCUUUCAUCGUAUUAUAGCCACGGCAAGAGAUUCUGUUUAACGUUUAGGAAGUAAAAUUCUAACAAACAUUGCUAAAUGCUGAUGUAGUUGAACCUAUUAUUUGGAGGAGUGCAUCACACCAUUUUGUGCUUUACCGUGCUGGAUUAAUGCCAAAGAACGAAGCCAAAAUGAAACACAAAUUGCAAUCAGUCCCCAGCAAUGGAACUGCUUUCUCAUCACCCUUUUGUUCGAAUGGCAUCAUGCAGAAACCAAACAAGCUCUGAGACUGCAAACUGAGGUUUGCUUUGUGAGGGAUUCAGCGGUGAUGGGCCAGCUCUGGCUGGGCUCUGCUGCCUGUUCAUAAGAGGGGAAGAAGUGGAGCAGAGCUGUUUGUUUCAGCCUUUAAAAUCGGUGUUAAAUUGUUGAUGAUGGCGUUGGAGCUGCUGCUCCAGCUGUUUAAACUUUAGCAGCGGAUAACGCCAGCUUCCAAUGUGUUGCUUCCCAAACACAAUGAAAAUAAAAAUAUUCAG
This is a long non-coding RNA of Prinia subflava (tawny-flanked prinia), 2190 nucleotides long. RefSeq lists it as uncharacterized. The record is from RefSeq and is a predicted model, not a curated record. The transcript is spliced from 3 exons. NCBI's taxonomy places the organism in Eukaryota, Metazoa, Chordata, Aves, Passeriformes, Cisticolidae.